UUUUGAAUUAAUGCGGGUCACGGAUUUUAGAGAGAUUUUAAGAAACCAUCAGUCCACAACGGCAUGGAUGGCACUUGAAGUUGGGCAUCAGUGUGUUUAAAUACUGUUUUUAAAAUAAUACAAAUUUAUUCUCGUUUUAUCAUUUUAAAGUGAUCAUCUCUAAAGUUACAUCAUAACUGGUUUCAAAACAAUGUUAUUCAAAAUAGAUUUUUUUCAUAAAUGCAAUGUUAAAAUGGGGUAAUUGGUUCCAGAAGCUAAAUUUUGAUCAAAAAAAUUGUUCUAUAUUUACAAAAAUUAUAAAAAUAAGUUGGAGGAUUUUCUCUUGAACUGUAGUUAGAUCAAGGACACACUGAUGUCCAAUAAUACAAAUUAUGAAGCAUGAAUAUUUGAUGAUAGCUUUAGGAAAUCAGACAGUGAUGUGUUAUAAGACAUUCUUUUCUCUCAAUCUUCUAAAUAGUAAGCAAGACUUGUUUUUUAUUGCUUGUUAAUUGUUACUGUUCAGUGUUCAUUUGAAUCAAUAUUUACAAGAAUAUUUGGGACCAGAUUCAGUAGUCUAAGCCCUUCAGUUUUGAAACUUCUGAAAUUUUUUCUUAGGCUCAGAUUUUUCAGAUUCUUUCUCCAUGCUUUGAUUCUAAAUUUUAAUAAGAUCAAGCAUGAAUUCUUGAUCUUGAAAGUUUAGCAGAUGAAAAGCAUUUGUAGCACAAUUACAAAUUGAGUUUGAAUAAUGCCUUUGACUUUCUCUGUUGCCAAAAUAUAAUAGAUUCCUGUAGUGACUUCUGAAUCAUGGAUAUCCAUGAAGAAAACAGAAUUUCUUCUUAAUGUCCUUAAUUUGUAUAUUUUUUUUAAAAGACUUUUAUUUAUUAAUCCCUUAUAACCUUCAUUGUAUCUGGAAUAUGAGAGCUUUCAGAAGUUCUUAAUCAUAUUUUCCAAUUGAAUUUUAUAAUGUCUCCAUCCUAUUAGAUCCUAAGUAGCGGAUUCCACUGCUUGUUGUAAGCCAACCAUUUUCAUAUGAUCUCUUUUUGUUUUAAUUCUUUCCAACCAGAGGUUAUUUACUACAAACAAAACUAUUUCAGCAUCUACAAGUUCAUCCACAAUUGUUGCAGAGUCAACCAUCAGAUAAAAAUAGGAUUCAAUAGGCAGAGUUCAGAUCCUUUCCAAAAAUCUGGAAGUGUUGGAUCCAGAAUUGAACUCCAAUCCUCUAGAGUGAAAGCACAUCAUAUUUUCACAUAUCCAUUCUGCAGUUGUCCUUCAGUGUUAGUUUUUUUAUUAUUCUAUAAGCAAAAAUUUCUAUGAACUAUAUUUAAAAUUCAAUCUAUUAUAAUAAAAUCUUUGUCUGUUCCUUUUGAGUGAUCUCACUGAGUUACAAUAAUCACAUGAUAUUCUAACUGAUUUUAUUGGACUGUAAUUGUCAUGUGCAGUAAUCACAUGACCAUUAUAAUCCAAUGUGGCUUGCUAAAUUACUGGUGGAUGUCAAGUACUAUGCUGUGUAUUUUGUUUAUCUACUAGAAUUAAUAAGAUAAACUUGUUUAUUCUUAAUGUGUAGUCGCUCUCUAAUUUGCUAACUAUUAUAUGUUACAUUAAUUAAUUAAAUAUCAAAUAAGAAACUUUGAUAGGCUUAGUGACUAGACUAUUACCAUAUAGUGGUCUGCUAUUACUAUGGCC
This 1662-nucleotide long non-coding RNA is filed under the name Androctonus crassicauda. The record is from RNAcentral. Lineage: Eukaryota; Metazoa; Arthropoda; Arachnida; Scorpiones; Buthidae.